Non-coding RNA from Potamilus streckersoni, 73 nucleotides. Lineage: Eukaryota; Metazoa; Mollusca; Bivalvia; Unionida; Unionidae. The record is from the annotation of a GenBank genome assembly.
GCUCCGGUGGACUAGUGGUUAGAGCGUCCGCCUCAGAUGCGGAAAGUCCUUGGUUCGAUCCUCGGCCAGAUCA